AGUGAACGCUGGCGGCAGGCCUAACACAUGCAGGUCGAGCGGCAGCGCGGGGGCAACCCUGGCGGCGAGCGGCGGACGGGUGAGGAAUUCGUCGGAAUCUGCCUUUUUGUGGGGGAUAACGUAGGGAAACUUACGCUAAUACCGCAUACGUCCUACGGGAGAAAGUGGGGGACCGCAAGGCCUCACGCAGAAAGAUGAGCCGACGACCGAUUAGCUAGUUGGUGGGGUAAAGGCCCACCAAGCCGGCGAUCGGUAGCUGGUCUGAGAGGAUGAUCAGCCACACUGGGACUGGGACACGGCCCAGACUCCUACGGGAGGCAGCAGUGGGGAAUAUUGGGCAAUGGGCGCAAGCCUGAUCCAGCCAUGCCGCGUGUGUGAAGAAGGCCUUCGGGUUGUAAAGCACUUUUGUCCGGAAAGAAAUCCCUGGAGCUAAUACCUUCGGGGGAUGACGGUACCGGAAGAAUAAGCACCGGCUAACUUCGUG
RNAcentral lists this ribosomal RNA (484 nucleotides) under uncultured bacterium. Its description in RNAcentral is "partial 16S ribosomal RNA". It matches the Rfam family "Bacterial small subunit ribosomal RNA", at positions 30 to 507 of the family's 1533-position model. The record is from RNAcentral.